GGCCGCCUGGCGAAAUGGCAUCGCGUCUGACUACGAUUAUCAAAACCGUUAUCAGGAGAUUGCAGGUUCGACCCCUGCGGUGGUCA
RNAcentral lists this transfer RNA (86 nucleotides) under Macrolepiota fuliginosa MF-IS2. RNAcentral's name for it is "tRNA-Arg". It matches the Rfam family "tRNA". From Rfam's summary of the family: Transfer RNA (tRNA) molecules are approximately 80 nucleotides in length. Lineage: Eukaryota; Fungi; Basidiomycota; Agaricomycetes; Agaricales; Agaricaceae. The record is from RNAcentral.